This 803-nucleotide small RNA is filed under the name Pan troglodytes (chimpanzee). RNAcentral's name for it is "processed transcript". Lineage: Eukaryota; Metazoa; Chordata; Mammalia; Primates; Hominidae. The record is from RNAcentral.
AGACUGUCUUCUGAAGAUUGAUGUCUAUUUCCUUGAGCUCUUUAAUUUUGUUGCCAAUUUGGAUAAACAUGGCACAAAUCCAGCAGGGAGGUCCAGAUGAAAAAGAAAAGACUACCGCACUGAAAGAUUUAUUAUCUAGGAUAGAUUUGGAUGAACUAAUGAAAAAAGAUGAACCGCCUCUUGAUUUUCCUGAUACCCUGGAAGGAUUUGAAUAUGCUUUUAAUGAAAAGGGACAGUUAAGACACAUAAAAACUGGGGAACCAUUUGUUUUUAACUACCGGGAAGAUUUACACAGAUGGAACCAGAAAAGAUACGAGGCUCUAGGAGAGAUCAUCACGAAGUAUGUAUAUGAGCUCCUGGAAAAGGAUUGUAAUUUGAAAAAAAUAUCUAUUCCAGUAGAUGCCACUGAGAGUGAACCAAAGAGUUUUAUCUUUAUGAGUGAGGAUGCUUUGACAAAUCCACAGAAACUGAUGGUUUUAAUUCAUGGUAGUGGUGUUGUCAGGGCAGGGCAGUGGGCUAGAAGACUUAUUAUAAAUGAAGAUCUGGACAGUGGCACACAGAUACCGUUUAUUAAAAGAGCUGUGGCUAUGUUCAGAAAAAAGCUGAAUACAUAUGAUUCUGAAGCUAUUAGAAUUUUUUCCCCUGUCACAAUAGCAGUAAGAAAAUUGCAAUAUAAAUGUCUUCUUGAGUGCAUAGCGUAUGAAAUAAUGUGUUUUUUCCCUGUAGUUUAAAAUGUUAACUGUAUUUUAGGUCUCAUUCUUUGCAUAUGCCUUGACAAUUAUGAUUGCUUGAUUAAAGAAAGA